UCGAGAAUUUUUCACAAUGGGGGAAACCCUGAUGGAGCGACGCCGCGUGGAGGAUGAAGGCCCUUGGGUUGUAAACUCCUGUCAUAAGGGAACAAGAAAGUGAUAGUACCUUAAGAGGAAGAGACGGCUAACUCUGUGCCAGCAGCCGCGGUAAUACAGAGGUCUCAAGCGUUGUUCGGAUUCAUUGGGCGUAAAGGGUGCGCAGGCGGUGUGGUAAGUCGGAUGUGAAAUUUAGAGGCUUAACCUCUAAACUGCAUCUGAUACUGUCAUGCUAGAGGACUGUAGAGGAGAUUGGAAUUCACGGUGUAGCAGUGAAAUGCGUAGAUAUCGUGAGGAAGACCAGUGGCGAAGGCGAAUCUCUGGGCAGUUCCUGACGCUCAUGCACGAAGGCUAGGGGAGCAAACG
Molecule: ribosomal RNA, 405 nt
Filed under: uncultured Spartobacteria bacterium
Lineage: Bacteria; Pseudomonadati; Verrucomicrobiota; Spartobacteria
Description: partial 16S ribosomal RNA
Rfam family: Bacterial small subunit ribosomal RNA
Source: RNAcentral